UACGUAGGUGGCAAGCGUUAUCCGGAAUUAUUGGGCGUAAAGGGAGCGCAGGCGGCGCAUUAAGUCUAUGGUUAAAGUUCGGGGCUCAACUCCGAAUUGCCAUGGAAACUGGUGUGCUAGAGUGCAGGAGAGGUGAGUGGAAUUCCAUGUGUAGCGGUAAAAUGCGUAGAUAUAUGGAGGAACACCAGUGGCGAAGGCGGCUCACUGGCCUGUAACUGACGCUGAGGCUCGAAAGCGUGGGGAGCAAACA
RNAcentral lists this ribosomal RNA (250 nucleotides) under uncultured bacterium. Its description in RNAcentral is "partial 16S ribosomal RNA". It matches the Rfam family "Bacterial small subunit ribosomal RNA", at positions 524 to 774 of the family's 1533-position model. The record is from RNAcentral.